RNAcentral lists this transfer RNA (95 nucleotides) under Trichosporon asahii var. asahii CBS 2479. RNAcentral's name for it is "tRNA-Leu". It matches the Rfam family "tRNA". Rfam says of the family: Transfer RNA (tRNA) molecules are approximately 80 nucleotides in length. Their secondary structure includes four short double-helical elements and three loops (D, anti-codon, and T loops). RNAcentral also lists the same sequence under 1 other name. The record is from RNAcentral. Lineage: Eukaryota; Fungi; Basidiomycota; Tremellomycetes; Trichosporonales; Trichosporonaceae.
GGCGAGAUGGCCGAGCGGUCUAAGGCGCUGUGUUAAGGUGACUCUUGAAGCAUCUCCGCAGUCUUCGGACGUGGGUUCGAAUCCCACUCUCGUCA